UGAAGCAGCCAAAGCUCAAAUUUGAAAGCUCCUAACAAGGCGCAUUGUAAUUUGAAGAUGGUAUUCCGAGUUAGUCCUUUACCUCAGUUCCUUGGAACAGGACGCCAUAGAGGGUGAGAGCCCCGUGUGGUAUUGGUAGCUUUCUCAUGUGGUUUACCUUCGAAGAGUCGAGUUGUUUGGGAAUGCAGCUCUAAGUGGGUGGUAAAUUCCAUCUAAAGCUAAAUAUUGGCGAGAGACCGAUAGCGAACAAGUACUGUGAAGGAAAGAUGAAAAGAACUUUGAAAAGAGAGUGAAAAAGUACGUGAAAUUGUUGAAAGGGAAGGGAAUUGGACUAGACUUGGAUUUCUGUUAUCAGCAGUCUUUCGGGGCUGUGCACUAGCAGUUUUCUAGGCCAGGAUCUGUUUGGAGGCCAGGAUAAAACCCAAAGAAUGUGGCUCUUCGGAGUGUUAUAGCUUUGGUUGAAUACUGGCAUUCUGGACAGAGGACCGCGCUUCGUGCUAGGAUCCUGGCGUAAUAGUCCUAUUCCACCCGUCUUGAAACACGGACCAAGGAGUCUAACGUCU
RNAcentral lists this ribosomal RNA (563 nucleotides) under Tardiomyces blankii. RNAcentral describes it as "[Candida] blankii partial large subunit ribosomal RNA". It matches the Rfam family "Eukaryotic large subunit ribosomal RNA", at positions 94 to 683 of the family's 3401-position model. Lineage: Eukaryota; Fungi; Ascomycota; Dipodascomycetes; Dipodascales; Trichomonascaceae. The record is from RNAcentral.